CACGUAGGGCGCAAGCGUUGUCUGGAAUUAUUGGGCGUAAAGAGCUCGUAGGCGGUCUGUUGCGUCCGCUGUGAAAACUCGGGGCUUAACCCCGAGCCUGCAGUGGAUACGGGCAGACUAGAGGUAGGUAGGGGAGAAUGGAAUUCCCGGUGUAGCGGUGAAAUGCGCAGAUAUCGGGAGGAACACCGGUGGCGAAGGCGGUUCUCUGGGCCUUACCUGACGCUGAGGAGCGAAGGCGUGGGGAGCGAACAGG
Molecule: ribosomal RNA, 253 nt
Filed under: uncultured bacterium
Lineage: Bacteria
Description: partial 16S ribosomal RNA
Rfam family: Bacterial small subunit ribosomal RNA
Source: RNAcentral